CUCUCUUCUUCGAUAUCGUCGAAGCUCUUCGUCGCUCUCUCUCCUCGUCGUCGAUUCUGUCGCUUAAAUACGUCUCUUAAUUAUAAAUCACAACCAUACUAAUUUGAUUUUCCGACGAGGUUGAUAGAUAAAUUAGGGUUUAUUGUUGGUUUGCGUCUCCUUCCACCUUCAAGGUGACUUGGAGUCUUCCGGUGCCAUUAUUUUAAAACCCAGGUGGUGAUGACAAGCUCUAAAUCGCCAGCUGCUUUCUCAUUUGAAGCCUGUUUAAUUCCAUUGAGGAUUUGCUCAUCAGCUUAAAGAAGCUAGCCAUUCGUCGAGCUGAAAUAAGUGAUCACGACGAACUAGCUGAUCAUUUUGAUCUCAAGUUGCUCCGCGCUCUUGGGCUUGUGCUAAUGGAAUAUGUAAGAAAAAAGGAUACUUCCCUUGUCCCAAGUGCUGGUCAUCAACUGAUGGGUUUGGAUAACUGCACUCUGUUGAAAACUCAUGUCGAUGAUACAACAAUAGACAUUGUGACUGGAAUCUUCAACAUCAAAAAGAAAAAGAAGAAGAAGAGAAAACCAAUAAGACUAAGAAGUAAAUCUCUCAAAAUGUUGGUUGGUUGGUUAUUCCAAUCACUACUUGGAUCUACUUUUUUCCUUACUAGCUAAAAUUGUAUGCCUUGGUUUCGUGUUUGAAGGAGGCGUUAUAAGUAGCUGCAUAGUUAGCAGCUUCUUUGGCCAAGCAAGUAGCUUACUUUGUGCUGUCUUGUGGCAGAUUUUAAAAGUUGCAUCUUUCAUAGUAAAGGCAUGGUGAUUUUAUCUUGUGCGGACACAAACAAAAGUAUCAAGAAGAUUCAUUAUAGCAAACCCCCAAUGGUUAAGAAACCAAGUGGUGGGGCAAAGAAGAAAAGCAAAGGUCACGAGUGUCCAAUUUGCUUUAGGGUGUUUAAAUCAGGACAAGCUUUAGGUGGUCACAAGAGAUGGGAGUCAAGAUCACAUGACUUUGGUGAUUCAACAACACCACCAAGUAGCUCAUGAGAUGUUCUAUCUCAGUCUUCCUCCUCCUAUUGAUUAGUGAAUGAAUCAGUGAUCAAAUUUUUUGUUCUCAUUGUUAUUAUUUCCUCUGUUUUCAUUU
Brassica oleracea var. oleracea is the source of this 1113-nucleotide long non-coding RNA. RefSeq lists it as uncharacterized. The record is from RefSeq and is a predicted model, not a curated record. NCBI's taxonomy places the organism in Eukaryota, Viridiplantae, Streptophyta, Magnoliopsida, Brassicales, Brassicaceae. The transcript has 3 exons.